GAUGAACGCUGGCGGCGUGCCUAAUACAUGCAAGUCGAGCGAACGGACGAGAAGCUUGCUUCUCUGAUGUUAGCGGCGGACGGGUGAGUAACACGUGGAUAACCUACCUAUAAGACUGGGAUAACUUCGGGAAACCGGAGCUAAUACCGGAUGAUAUUUUGAACCGCAUGGUUCAAAAGUGAAAGACGGUCUUGCUGUCACUUAUAGAUGGAUCCGCGCUGCAUUAGCUAGUUGGUAAGGUAACGGCUUACCAAGGCAACGAUGCAUAGCCGACCUGAGAGGGUGAUCGGCCACACUGGAACUGAGACACGGUCCAGACUCCUACGGGAGGCAGCAGUAGGGAAUCUUCCGCAAUGGGCGAAAGCCUGACGGAGCAACGCCGCGUGAGUGAUGAAGGUCUUCGGAUCGUAAAACUCUGUUAUUAGGGAAGAACAUAUGUGUAAGUAACUGUGCACAUCUUGACGGUACCUAAUCAGAAAGCCACGGCUAUCUACGUG
RNAcentral lists this ribosomal RNA (497 nucleotides) under uncultured bacterium. Its description in RNAcentral is "partial 16S ribosomal RNA". It matches the Rfam family "Bacterial small subunit ribosomal RNA", at positions 28 to 507 of the family's 1533-position model. The record is from RNAcentral.